RNAcentral lists this ribosomal RNA (243 nucleotides) under uncultured bacterium. RNAcentral's name for it is "partial 16S ribosomal RNA". It matches the Rfam family "Bacterial small subunit ribosomal RNA", at positions 534 to 776 of the family's 1533-position model. The record is from RNAcentral.
CCAAGCGUUGUUCGGAUUUACUGGGCGUAAAGGGCGCGUAGGCGGCAAUUCAAGUCAUCUGUGAAAUCUCCGGGCUUAACUCGGAAUGGUCAGGUGAUACUGCUUUGCUAGAGUGCAGAAGGAGCAAUCGGAAUUCUUGGUGUAGCGGUGAAAUGCGUAGAUAUCAAGAGGAACACCUGAGGUGAAGACGGGUUGCUGGGCUGACACUGACGCUGAGGCGCGAAAGCUAGGGGAGCAAACGGG